RNAcentral lists this long non-coding RNA (1006 nucleotides) under Gossypium barbadense (sea-island cotton). RNAcentral describes it as "long non-coding RNA (GBAR_LNC021301)". The record is from RNAcentral. Lineage: Eukaryota; Viridiplantae; Streptophyta; Magnoliopsida; Malvales; Malvaceae.
GCUGAUACGGAAUCCGAAAAUCUACAGGCUUGAGGAUCUUGGUUAUGACAGGUACACUUAAAGAAUUAUCAAUCGGGGACCUAUGACUCGAACUGUCUGCUGCUAAACCAAGAUUUUACGAUUUCCAUCUCUGCAUCUGUAAUUGCAUAUCCAACAUGGACAUUUGUAGCAUUUUGAGUCAAAUUAGGUCCAGAAGAGGCUGGAUCCUGUUUAAACCUCUUAACAGAACCAGACUUCCUCCUUUUAGCUCCCGUGCGACGAUCACUCUGAACUGAUUUCCCACGGUCAACCUUUGGUAACCCAUUUACAGGUCCAUCACCUUCAGCAGCUCUGCCUUCUUGAAACCGAAUUGCAAGCUUAUCUUUAUUGCCCCCUUCAGAAGAUAAUGCACCUUUUAGCUCACUGAGUUUGGUAUCAUAAUCAUUUUCAUGCUUUGUCUCGUCAAUUUUCUUUGAACCGUUAGCAGAAUUGUCAUCCUUAACUCUUUUAGCUGUCACUGUUAUUUGUUUCAUUGAAAAGACCAAGAUGCUGGACGGGAUGAGCUCCAGGAAUUCCUUUGUUAGGCGAGAUUACAAAGACUAUUCCAUGGCCAUGGAAGUGUCCCGGUACAUUUGCAAAAAUGGAUGUGUUAGAAAAGGAGGAAACACUACCAUUUUUGGAAACCGAAUGGUAGUAGUUUUGUUAUUAAUUUUGUAUUAUGCAUAAAGUUAGAUUUAGUCUAUAUUCUCUAGAUCAUUUUUAAUCAUUAUAAUUUUUGAAUUUUAGUCUUAAUACAAACGUUAAUAAUUAAAUCUAUUGAAUGCUUUUAUAUAGUAAUAUGUAAAAAUAACAAGCUGACAUAAUAUUACACAUGCCAUAAUAUAUUUGCCGCAUCAAAUUUUAAAAAUAACAAAACCUAUCUUAAUAAUUUAAUUGCUAUCAUCUAAUCUCAUGUUCUAUGUUCCCUUGAAGUUGAGCACCUUGAUCCACUAAAUCUUUCCUCUUUGUAUACCCUCCUCAAGCACAG